RNAcentral lists this ribosomal RNA (155 nucleotides) under Vigna umbellata (rice bean). Its description in RNAcentral is "partial 5.8S ribosomal RNA". It matches the Rfam family "5.8S ribosomal RNA". Rfam says of the family: 5.8S ribosomal RNA (5.8S rRNA) is a component of the large subunit of the eukaryotic ribosome. It is transcribed by RNA polymerase I as part of the 45S precursor that also contains 18S and 28S rRNA. The record is from RNAcentral. Lineage: Eukaryota; Viridiplantae; Streptophyta; Magnoliopsida; Fabales; Fabaceae.
ACUCUCGGUAAUGGAUAUCUCGGCUCUUGCAUCGAUGAAGAACGUAGCGAAAUGCAAUACUUGGUGCGAAUUGCAGAAUCCCGUGAACCAUCGAGUCUUUGAACGCAAGUUGUGCUCGAAGCCACUAGGCCGAGAGCACGCCUGCCUGGGUGUCA